UGGGGAAUAUUGCACAAUGGGCGCAAGCCUGAUGCAGCCAUGCCGCGUGUAUGAAGAAGGCCUUCGGGUUGUAAAGUACUUUCAGCGGGGAGGAAGGUGUUGAGGCUAAUAACCUCAGCAAUUGACGUUACCCGCAGAAGAAGCACCGGCUAACUCCGUGCCAGCAGCCGCGGUAAUACGGAGGGUGCAAGCGUUAAUCGGAAUUACUGGGCGUAAAGCGCACGCAGGCGGUCUGUCAAGUCGGAUGUGAAAUCCCCGGGCUCAACCUGGGAACUGCAUUCGAAACUGGCAGGCUAGAGUCGUGUAGAGGGGGGUAGAAUUCCAGGUGUAGCGGUGAAAUGCGUAGAGAUCUGGAGGAAUACCGGUGGCGAAGGCGGCCCCCUGGACAAAGACUGACGCUCAGGUGCGAAAGCGUGGGGAGCAAACA
RNAcentral lists this ribosomal RNA (427 nucleotides) under uncultured bacterium. RNAcentral describes it as "partial 16S ribosomal RNA". It matches the Rfam family "Bacterial small subunit ribosomal RNA", at positions 355 to 774 of the family's 1533-position model. The record is from RNAcentral.